GACCGAGGGAGGCUCGACCACAGCACCAGUAACCUUGUCUGAUGUGAUCAUUAACCUUUCUGGAAAAUGCAGCUGGCAGUUCUCUGAGGCUCGUCAUUAGAAUGUGAGGAAAGCCACACAGAUAUUGCCCAGACUAUUCAAAGAUUGUUUGGUUUACACUGAGAGCUAUUGCUCCGCUUCCGUGCGGCAGAAAAAUGAGGUUGCAACAAUUCUUUUGUGUAUUUUUUAUUUUUGUGAUGAGUCUUCUUCUUAUCAACGGACAGAGACCAGGUAGGACUUUGGUACAUUUGUACCGAGUAACUUGUUUAUGCCUCUUUGGGUUCGUGGGUCUGAGCAUGAUUACGUCCUGUUGAAAAUCACUUAGGUGUGCUUAGAGGUAUUGGGGGUAAAUGGGUUGGUUGGCUUUCGGAAGUAUGUCAUCUAUCCUUUUAGAUCUAUUAUUUGUAUAUUUUUAAAAGUUGAUGGAUUUUAAAAUGAUAAAUAUUUUGCCACUGUUUUUCUAAAUUCAGAGAAAAUUGAUUACUGUUAUUUUAGAUAUGUUGUCCUUACAAGUAAAAAGAAAUAGAACCGUUUGUUCUACUGAUUACAGAGGUUAACAAACUUACAGAUUUUGGGGUAAAAUACAAACUCCAAAGCAGUUUAUUGGAAGAACAUAUUGCUGACUAGAGUGGGGCAUCGUUAACAACUUGAUUUAACAACAUGAACACCAUGUGACAAAAUACAGAUAAAAUCUGUAACAGGUUAUUAUAGCUUUUAUUUUUGGUUAUAUAAUUCGAUGUCUCGCUUAAAAAAUAAAAGUUUUAGUAUUAUUGUGCUUAUAGAGCCAAAAAUGUGAAAAAUAUUUAUGGUCAAGGUAAUAUUAAUUUACUUGACACAUUUUUCAAAGAUAGUAUCUGUUGUGGUUUUAACCAACAGGAAUUUAGUAAGUAGAGUUAUUCUAAUGUGCUUUUACUUCAAAACCAAAUAUCUAAGAUUUCAAAGCACUGACAUGUGUAAAAAAAAAAAAAAAAACGUUUUCUUAUUCAGGAAAGAGCAAACCCAAAUUUAAAUAGAAAGGUGGUAAUAUCCAUUCCAAAUAUGUUAGAUUGUUUGGGUGGUAAUGUACUUCUCCAUUUAGACCAGACAAUGGUGCAUAACUGGUUAAAAAUUCAGUCUCUGCCUUUUAGUUAAACAGAAGUUUGAUCACUGAGGUUAUUUCGGAUGACGUCCCCUGGUUUGCCCUUUUACAUAAAUAAGAGAAAAUUUCCAAGUCAGCAAUUCAGAAAGCAGUUGACCCCUUCUUCCAAUUUAUAGCAAUUGCUAAUCAAACUGUUCUGAACUACAGAAUACCUUGGACAAUGUUCUUGUAAAAUACCUGUGAUUAACUCAGCACGUAAGAUGAAAGAUCCAGAAGCAUUUAGGAAGAAGUCCCGUAGAAGGAGGAGGUUAUGACUGCUACAUCCUGCUAUUAACAUGAACUGUUAGGAAAAUGCUUUUGGUUUUUGCAUCACGUUAAUUUGUACGUCACAAUCACAUCGGAACAAGUAGCAAAUACUCACAAUUUAGUUUGGACCCAAAAUAUUCCCUUACAUUCUCCAGAUUAAAUAACAGUUCAUUUUCUGAAAAAUGCUCCUAAUAUUUCCUUUUUUUUUUUUCCCCUCAGCUAAUUUGGCGUUGAGAAGAAAAUUGCACAGACACAACUGCCUUCAGAGGAGAUGUAUGCCACUCCAUUCACGGGUGCCCUUCCCCUGAGGUAUUUCUGAUAGGAAAUUGUUUUACUGAAUUUAGGCAAUGUUCCAGAUGAGAUAUAUCAAAGAAAGUUUAUUUAUAUUUUGUAAUAUGUGAUAAUACUUUUAAGGUGAUAUCAGUUCGAGGGAUGCAUACUAACAAAUGAAACAGUGAAUAAUAUUGUAGGAAACUCUUGAUAAUUUUUGAUUCUGAGAGAUAGUUGUAUGGGUAUUAAUACCACUGUUUGUGUUUAACACUUUCAUAAUUAAAAAAUCACAUACCAGGAGAACAUAAUUUUGAGAGUAUCUUUAAACAUGUGUUUUGAAAAACACUGAAUAGCUCUGUAUGUUCUCCAGAACAAGCACAUUUCCCACCAAGACCACUGAAUCCUUGAAAGCAUUUGGACAUAUUUGUCCAAUGACACCAUGCAAAUGACAUCCUAUCCUUGAUAUUCUAAUAAUGUAUUAAAAUAGUUUAUUUUUCUUGACAAUAUAUCUUUUAAUGCAUAAAAUCAAUUUAAUAUUAAUAGCAUGGCAGUUUUCCAGCCUUACUCAUAGAAUUGGUCUUGAUAGUUGUUGCAUCUUUAAGGGUAAAUUCUGAAUAGAAUUUUGCUCCUCUCCCCUCUUUUUUUUUCCACAUUCACUGAAAGGCCAGUGAUAUUCUACCACCACCACCAUUAACACUGCUUGAAUCAAUUAACUUCAAACACUGCCCAAGUUUGUAUUUCUUCAUACUAAAAAAUAAAUGACUUGGCGUUGUAAUUAUUUUAAGCUCUUUAAUUCUUGUAAAACAUCUCAUCCUUGAAAAAAAUGCUGUAGAAAUAUCCCUCAGCUGGUUAACAUACACAGGCAAUUGUUAAAUUAGCUUAUUCAGUUGGUCUGUAGACUGUAGUGUUUAUGGCACUAUUCAUUCAUUCAGAGGAAAGAAUGGUUGUCAUGCCUAUUGUUUAAUACAUGCGUUUCAGACCUGGUGAACGUCCUGUAGUAACACAGUAAAUGAAGGAAGAGCAAUUCAGUAAUCACUUGUCAAGCAGACUAAGACAAAAAGCCAAAUUCUCUACACCUGUAUCUGUAACAAAUGAACCUUUGCUAUCAAAAUAUGAAAAAUAGCUUUGGUGGAGACAUCCGGAAAGAUACAGUAAGAAAUUCCUGAGAAGCCAAUUAAUAGGGACUAAAACAUGCUUUAAAAGGAUUUUCUAUGCUAACAAAUCCUUUGGCGUGUGUCACUAAUGCAUUUCAGUCUCAUAUACAAAUAGUGGUAAAAUCUGUGCUUAGGAGGAGUGGAGAAGUUCAAGACUUUCCCAGCACUCCCCCACAAAUAACAAAGAGGAGAGGAGGAGGUUCACAGUAGCAAGAGAAUUCCUGCAUAUAUAGGGAAAGAUACCUUGCAUAACACAAAUAAAAGCCCUCAGUUAGCCACAGGUUGUAUCAGCUUUCUCCACAAACCACCUGCCAUAAAAGCUAGGGUUGCAAGUACACAAGAUAGAGUAAUGAAAUUUGAAUUCUCAAAGUUAAGGAAAAUUUUGAUCUAUAAACCAAAUAUUUGAAUUCUCAAAGUUAAGGAAAAUUUUGAUCUAUAAACCAAAUUUAUAAACCAAAGGGAAAUUUAAAUACAAGCCAUGUAAACCAUUUACUAACAGCAAUCCUUUACAAAAUUUGGCUGAUAGCUGUAAAGAACUGCUUAGGUUACGGCAUCCAUUUUGUCCGUGUUUAGACUAGUCCUACAUUCCAGUUACAUGUUCUUUGAAGAAUGUAUAAAACUCCCAUUUUUUAAUCCAGAGAUAGCGUAAGAGCCAAUGCAGGAUAAAUAUUAAGAUAAUUUUUCAAGAUCUUGCUUAAUGAGUACUAUAAUAAUGGGGUGCCUGGGCGGCUCAGUCGGUUGAGCGUCCGAAUUUGGCUCAGGUCAUGAUCUCAUGGUUUGUGGGUUUGAGCCCUGCGUUGGGCUCUGUGCUGACAGAUCAGAGCCUGGAGCCUGCUUCGGAUUCUGUGUCUCAUUCUCUCUCUGCCCUUCCCCAACUUGUGCCCUGUCUCUCUCUGUCUCUUAAAAAUAACUAAAAAUGUAAAAAAAAAAAACAAAAAAACUUUAAAAAAUGAGUGCUAUUAUAACAAAUGCUACCUUCAAAUAUGAAAGCAUAGUUCUCAUUGUCCUAAAGUUUUCAUAUUUUUUAGUAUGUCCUGCAACAUAACUUGAGAACCAAGUAAAUCACUAUAGACUUAAGUAGCAGAACUUUAAGGCAGAACCUCCCUUUUAUUUAUCCCCCUCUGUUUUCUGCAUGUGUUGUUUGUUUAUUAUUUCUUUAUUUACUUACUAUUUUUUAUAUUUUGUGUAAGCUCUAUGCCCAACGUGGGGCUUGAAUUCACGACCCCGAGAUCAAGAGUUGCCUGCUCUACUGACUGAGCAGCCAGGCGUCCCUGUUUUCUGUAUGUUUUAGAUAAAAAUCACACAUUUGAUUUGAUUCAGUUAGGGACAUGUAAGACUGUAAAAGGAUAGGUAAAGUAAGCAGUUAACUUUGGAAAUUUUCCAGAUUAACCUUUUAAAGUAGUUUAGACUUUUAGCUCCUAUAAUCGGAAUGCACUAUUAUUAUCUUUACUUUGUCAAUUUCACCAGCUCCUGGAGUCCUCUCAGUGAUCCUCAGUGACAUUUCAUAACUUGCACAAUUGAGUAAUUAAAUUUUUUUAAUGUUUUAUUAUUUAAUUUUUGAGAGAGAGAGACAAACAGAGCAUGAGCAGGGGAGGGACAGAGAGAGAGACACACACACACAGAAUCCGAAGCAGGUUCCAGGCUCUGAGCUGUCAGCACAGAGCCCGAUGCGGGGGUCGAACCCACAAACUGAGAUCAUGACCUGAGCCAAAGUCAGAUGCUUAACCGACUGAGUCACCUAGGCGCCCCCAAUUGAGUUAAUUAAAUAGAAAAAUCUGUGCUGUGUAAAAUUCAUUCUCUUGAGAAUUAUUUUUUCUUGCUGAAGUGUGUUGGCAUCACAUUCAGUCCUAAGUGAAUUAGAGUUGAGGAAAACAAGAGAAAGGGUGUCAGGAAAUCAACUUUGCAGGUUAAUGUGAGAGCUUUAGAGUGGAAAAUGAGGUAGGUAGGACCUUUAGAUUCUAAUGAUUUUCCUCUUCCAAGCAUAAAAUCUACAUAUAUACAUAUUCUAGCUUUUUUUUUUUUUAAAGUAAUCCCUGGGAGCCUGGUUGGCUCAGUCAGUUAAGCAACUUGGUUUCAGCUCAGGUUGUGAUCUCAUGGUUCCUGAGUUCGAGCCCCAGAUCCGCCUAUGUUCUGGCAGCAUGGAACCUGUUUGGGUUUCUCUCUUUCUCUCUCUCUCUGUUCCUCCCCCACUCACUCUGUCUCUCUCUCUCUCUCUCAAAAUAAAUAAAUAAACUUUUAAAAAAAUAAUAAUAAUCUCUAGCCCAACAUGGGGCUCAAACUCACAACCCCAAGAUCAAGAGUUAGAUGCUCCACUGAGCCAGCGAAGUGCUCCUAUCUAGCUUUUUAGUAAUAAUUGUGGCAUGUGUUCAUGGUGUAAAAUCUUUUCCUAACAGUAUGAAAGAAUGUAAAGUCAAAGGUGAGUCUCCCAGUCAUUUCCCAGAGGCAAUGGCUAUGAAAAGGUUUUGGUAAAGGUACAUUUUAAAAAUAUUUCUUUAUUUAUUUUGAGAGAGAGAAAACGCAAGCAGGGGAGGGACAGAGAGAGAGGGAGAGAGAGAAUCCCAAACAGAGAGGGAGAGAGAGAAUCUGCGCUGACAGCACAGAGCCUGACGGGGGUCUUGAUCUCAUGAACUGUGAGAUCGUGACCUGAGCCGAGAUCAACAGUCAGACACUUAACCGACUGAGCCACCCAGGCACCCUGGUAAAGGUACAUUCUAAUACAUUAUUUUAAGUUGAGACAAGCUAAUACUCUCAUAUCACUCUUGGUGACCAUUCAAAAUGUUAAGUACUUCUAGUUCUCUAUUUCCUGCCUUAUUCUUACCCCCUCAAAGUUACGGGCUUCUGACUCCUUUGACCAAAUCUCUAGCCGUGCCUGCCAACUCUUUCUGCAAUUGUCCUGUUUAUUGUCUUGGCCCUGCUCACUCCAUGCUGACUCUCGGGCUGAACUGAAAGCCAACUGUCUUCAGCACAGAAUCUCUACUUUUGUGGAGCACUUUAUCUACAAUGUUAGCAAGACUUUCUGGGAAAAGCUUCCUUUUUUUAAGUUUUCAACUUCAUUUUCUUAGUAAUGCGUACACCCAACUUGGGGCUUAAACUCACGACCCCAAGAUCAAGAGUCACUCUUCCAACUGAGCCAGCCAGGCGCCCCUGGGAAAAACUCUUCAGCUUACUCUUAGGUACCUCUGACUCCCGUUCAGCUCUAUUUAAACCUCUAGUUUCCUUGAACUUCUUAACCUUUUCCAACUGACAACAAGAGAUUUCUCUUCCCAGAGAAAAUGGAGAUCUUCAAGCUUUAAAAUCAGACUCUGCCCUCAAGCUACAAACAUUUACAUCUGCUAUACUUCUAUUUUCCCUUUGGAGUCUUUUAUUAAGAGGUUCCUCUCCUGGGUAUGCUUAAUCUCUCUACAUCUCAAGAAACUGAUCUAACCGUUACUCGCUUUCUACAGAUUGUUCAAUAUAUCAAAGCUGAUCUAUUUCACCUUUUAAAAUGAGGAAAACAGGUGCACCACUGACUCCACGGUGGUCUUUAGUGACUAGCCCAUGUUCUUCUCUACAUAGCCGAAUUUCUUAAAAAGAUGGCUGUUUCCUUUCCUCCCAUCUACUUCAAUACAGUGCUCCCACUACAUUCAGGGAAAGAUCCCCAGUGACUUUCUUUUCAAUCCAGUGAACACAUUUUGGUUCUGGUCUCAGCUAUCUUGCUAUAGGUCAAAUAGUGAAUGGAUUUUCCCUGGUUUCAAUGCUCCUUUUUGAUUACUAAUCUCUGAAACAAAUCACUAUUCCUUUCAGGACAUGUAUAGGGUGUCCAGUUGCCUACUUGGAAUCACCUUAGCUGUUCUAAGUCACUUCAAGUUCACGUCUGCAGUGCAUUUGCAAAUCUCUAGCAUGGCUUCUGCACAGCUUAUCACUGUAACUCAGUUCUCUGUUCCAAUAUCAUGGUUGUCAUCAGGAAGAACUUCCCUGAUCCUUUAUUUUAAAGAGCAAUACCAAAGUAAACUCUUACUAUAAAAAAGCAGUACCUCAUUCUACCCAAGAUACUUCUAUUUCCCUUUUCCUGGUUUGUUUCACUCUGUAACACCUAGUGCCAUCUGACAUAACAUAUAUUUACCUUGUUAUUGUUUAGUUAGUAUCUGCCUCUCUUCAUUAGAAUGUAAUUUCCAUAAAAAACAGGGACUUUGUUUUGAUCACAGCUAUAUGCCCAGUGAUUCUAAUAAGCUCCACAGAAAUAUCUGAUGAAUGAAUGCAUACUGAAAAGUAAACUCUUCAAUUCUUCCCACUCAGGUAUUUCUCCUGUGUUCUGAGAAUUUGGAGAAUUGUAGAGCUAUCAUAUAUUAGAUGUUUGUUAUGUAUCAAGCACUGUGCUAUGAAAUAUACAAUUUACUGUUGCACUGUAGAUUUUUGAGCUGGUGCCCUAUAUUCAGUUCUAUUUGGUUUCCCAGGUCAUUGCAAUUAAUGUACGAUAUACAUUUAUAGGGUCAGUCAUUUCUACCUUGUCCCAGGUCAGUCAUUUCUACCUUGAAAUAUUUUUAAAAAUCUGCUCCCUCCUUUUCAUCUCUGUUACCAUUAUCUUAGUACCUGUUACAUCUAUCCAGCAUGACUUCAACUCCUUAACUAAUCACUGCUCCAGUUCUGAUUCUGGAAAAUCCAUUUUUUCUUUUAUCACCCGAUCUUUCUAAAGUGUAAAUCCUAUCAUGUCACAUCUUGAUUAAAAUUCUUAACUAUCCCUGUAGCCUUCAGGAUGGUGAGAACUCCCAUAAUUUAACAAACAACACUUUACAAAAUAUACCUCUCCAGCAUCAUCUGUCAUCUCCUCUCUCCUUCCCUCUUCUAAAGGGGAUAAGAAAGAAUCAGGACUGGCUUGCAUGGAUUCAAGCUCUGGCCACAAGCUCGUUCAGUGGUCAUUGGUAAGUCACUUGUCCCCUCUAAGCCUCCCUCCACUUCCAGACAUUUAAGAUGGAGCUAGUAAUGGUAUUAAUUUUGCCCUACCAUACUUCGCACAUGGUAACUGCUAAAUCGACAGUAGCUAGAGUUACUAUUAUUAUUAUUUUAAUGUUUAUUUAUUUUUGAGAAAGAGAGAGAGUGCAAGGGAGGGAGGGGCAGAGAGACAGGGAGACAGAAGAUCUGAAGCAGGCUCUGUGCUAACAGAGAGCCUGAUGCAAAUCUCCAGCUCACAAACCAAACCGAGAGAUCAUGACCUGAACUGUUCAGAUGCAUAACUGACUGAGCCACCCAGGUGCCCCUAGAAUUAUUAUUAUUAACGUUACUUUAAAAUUAGUCUAUUCUUCACCUCUUGGUGAACUCUCAAGGUAUACGUCUGCCUGCAAUGGCCUUUCUUUACUCUUUUCCUCGCUAAUUUUUUUCAAGAUUUAUUUAUUUAAAUAAUCUCUACCCUCAAUGUGGGGCUCGAACUCACAGCCCUGAGAUCAAGAUUCGCAUGCCCUACUAAGCCAGCCAGGCACCCCUUUUCUUCACUAUUCAUCCUUCAAGAAACCUUUCCUGAGGGGCGCCUGGGUGGCUCAGUCGGUUGAGUGGCCGACUUCGGCUCAGGUCAUGAUCUCGGGGUCCGUCAGUUCGAGCCCCGUGUCGGGCUCUGUGCUGACAGCUCAGAGCCUGGAGCCUGUUUCGGAUUCUGUGUCUCUCUCUCUCUGACCCUCUCUUGUUCAUGCUCUGUCUCUCCCUGUCUCAAAAAUAAAUAAAAAACGUUAAAAAAAAUAAAAAAAAAAAAGAAAGAAACCUUUCCUGAGUGUAAUACAAAUUGUAUUAGAUGUCUACAUUUUGCUCUCAACCUAUUUGAGUAAUUCUGUCAAAGUACUUGACUCACUGCACCUUGUUAACUGGCAGACUCCUCCCUUCCUUCCUCCACAUGGAGUAAAUUCCCUGAAGGCAGAAUGUGGGUGUUCUGACAUUGUUAAAUUAAAAUUUGUUAAAGCGGAGCACCUAGUACAGAACAAUGAGCCAGGUAAGCCUUAGUUCAAAAGCUGACCUAAGAUAAAUUGAAAUAGAGAUGUUUAUCACUCCUGGGUCCUGGAGGAAGUACACAGCCUGCCUAGAGGGGCCACAUGGGGCGGGGCGGGGGUCAAGGGAGAAUGCAGACCUAGAGCACAUGCCUUAUUAGGGACUGUGGGUGGAGUGCUUUUGGGUUCCUGGGCUGGGGUCUCAUUGAUCAAUUCAAACCAAAAGAGCAGGGGGGGUUGGAUGGGGGAUGGGGGUGGAGGGUGGCCCCACGAGGUUCUUAUCUAAGGGGUACUUAAGAUAAUACAGGCCCUGGGAGGCAAGGGAGAUUUGAUCACAAGGGCUGUUGGGGAAGUGAUAUCAGAAGCUUGUAUUUGCUUGUGACUCUGUGGCUGCUAUCCAUAUGAGCCUGCGGGAGGGGCUUAAGUGUCCCGGCAAGGCCCCUUCAGGCCACUUAGCCACACAAAAUGGAUGCCGAGAAGCAGUAGCUGGGAGUGGCUCGGUUAACCUCUCAACAGUGGGUUGUAUUGAUCUUUGUAACAUUAGCUGAUGAAAAAGUGUCCCGAAUACAGCAGGCACUCCAUAAAUGUUGCUGAGAGAAAUGAAAUGAAACUUUUAGUUAUUAUCUUAGCAUUUAAGACUUACCUAUAAUGAGACCCAACACACAUUUUCAGGAAAUAACUGAACAGUAACUACCAGACUGAAUUCUGAUUUUCUAUCUCUGUGCUGGAAGUGUUUCUACUCCUAGGAAUUGUUUCCCUCAUCUCAUUAAGUUCAAAACCUUCCCCUCCCAAAGGGAUCUCUUCCAAAUUCCAUUUUCUUUUUUUUUUUUUUAAUUUUUUUUAACGUUUGUUUAUUUUUUGAGACAGAGAGAGACAGAGCAUGAACAAGGGAGGGUCAGAGAGAUAGGGAGACACAGAAUCCAAAACAGUCUCCAGGCUCUGAGCUGUCGGCACAGAGCCCGAUGUGGGGCUGGAACUCACAGACCGCCAGAUACGACCUGAGCCGGGGUCAAACGCUCAACCAACUGAGCCACCCAGGCGCCCCACAAAUUCCAUUUUCUUUAAAAUGAGGCCUACACCCUCAUCCACUUAGCUUAAAAUUACCUUCCACUCUCUCAACAAUUACAGCAUUUUUAUAAGUAUUAUUUUCAAAGCUAUCAUAUUCUACUGUAUUUUGCCAGAUUUUUAUCAGUAUUGGAAUGUCAGCUCCUUGAAAGGCAAGAUCUGGCCCCUAAACCUUAAAGUAUAAACCUUUAUAAUGUGUGAAUGGCCCUAAAUGUAGGGGAUUUCUGCAUGGAUGAUGACAUAUGUAGGAUCUCUUACUUGAAACUAAAUGAAAAUCUUAAAAAAAUUUUUUUAAACCUAAAUGAAAUAUAGAAAAUUACUGUUUUCUCAGUUAAUUAUAGUCCAUUGUCCAGAAACCAUGCUCUGAGAAAAUCCCUAAUGUUGCUUAGUGAUAAAAUAAAACUUUUCUGUAAAAAUCAUGCCUUAAUGAUAAUAUAUUAAAAAAAAUAAUACAUAUUGAACAUAUAAAUCUAGAAACUGUAGUUAUGUUAUAGAUGAUGUAUUAUAAUAAAUAUUCCCCUACCAAAAUGUGUAUAUGGUAGACUAAAGCCUAAUUUCAGAGUUUUUUUUUCACUUUGGGAACCGAUUUAUUGUUACAAAGUGUAUAAUAAUUAUUUCUGCAGAUAUGUACUUAAAGUACUCUAUCAUGUUCAGACAUCUAAAAUAUCUUUGUAACACAUCUUUUGCCUUAAUUUGUUCUCAGAGAUGUAUUCAAUUAGUGAUCUACUGAUAUCUGGUGAACUUUAUUAUUACAUACCAGUAACAUUUGAAAAAUAUUAUUCUUCGAUAACAGCAAGUGAGUAUUUGUUGCUAUUUGGGUGACGAGAAGAACAAAAUCACUUACUGUUAACUAUUGCAAUACAUUUCACCCUUGGAUGUAUUUUUUUUUUUUUACUUUUACUUUUUUUUAUAGUGGUGUAUUGAGGCGCCUGGAUGGCUCAGUUGGUUAAGUGUCCGACUCUUGAUUUUGGCUCAGGUCAUGAUCUCACGGUUUGUGAGUUCAAGCCAUUUGAGCCCAGUUGCUACAGAGGUUAUGGUUUGACUUCCUGCUUUGGUUGCUGUAGAGUUUGUGGUUCAGAGUUCUAUUUUAACAUAUGGCCAUUGUCCAUUUGUGUGUUCAGUCUCUCAGUUCCAAAGUUAUUUCAUCUCCAGUUCACACCACCCAAGUGUAUUACUGUCUGCCUUGCACCAGCCUCCUCAUAUCUACUUUUGCUUCUCUUUUAUCCAUUCUUCAUAUUAUCGCUUCAUACCACUCAAGAUCCUUUAGCAAUUUUUUUAAAUAAUAUUUUUUAAUAUUUAUUUGAGAGAGAGAGCAGGUAGGGGUGGGGCAAAGAGAGAGGGAGAAAGAAUCUUAAGCAGGCUGCAAGCUCGCCACCCCAUAAAAAUGGACUCAUACAUCUUAGCAGGUACUCCCCAUUUCUCCCCAGCUUUCUAAUCCCACACAGCUACUAACCUAUUUUUUCUUCUUUUUUUUUUAAUUUUUUUAACGUUUAUUUAGUUUUAAGAGACAGAGAUAGAACGUGGGGGAUGCAGGGAGAGAGGGAGACACAGAAUCUGAAGCAGGCUCCAGGCUCUGAGCUGUCAGCACAGAGCCCAACACAGAGCCCGACACGGGGCUCGAACUCACGAACUGUGAGAUCAUGACCUGAGCCAAAGUCAGAUGCUUAACCGACUGAACCACCCAGGCACCCCUAACCUACUUUCAUCUUACAGAUUUGCUUACAGAUCUGGACAUUUUAUAUACUUUUAUAUAUAUAAUUUUUUCUUUUGUGAUUGGCUUAUUUCAUUUAGCCUAAUGUUUGCAAGACCCAUCCAUAUAGUAUCAGGUAUCAGUACUCCAUUCUUUUUUAAUGAUUAAAUAAAAUUCCAUUCUAUAGAAAAAUCACAUUUUGUUUAUUUUCACUAUGUGGUUAUUAGGAAUAAUUCUGUUCUGAACAUUUGUUUAUAAUUUUUUUUAAGUUUAUUUAGUUUGAGACAGCACAAGCAGGGGAGAAGCAGAGAGAGGGACGGGGAGAGAGAAUCUCAAACAGGUUCUCUACUGUUAGUACAGAGCCUGCUUCAGAUCCUCUGUCUCUUUCUCUCCCCCUCCUCUGCUCACGCUCUCUCUCUCUCUCAAAAAUUAAUAAACAUUAAAAUUGUUGUUGUUGUUUGAGAGGCACCUGGGUGGCUCAGUCAGUUAAGCAUCCAACUCUUGAUUUUGACUCAGGUCAUGAUCUCAUGGUUCAUGAGUCUGAGCCCCAUGUUUGAGCCCCAUGUUGGGCUCUGCACUUUUAGUGCAGAUUGGGAUUCUCUGUCUCCCUCUUUCUCUGCCUCUCCCCUGUUCAAAACUAUAUAAAACAAGGGUGCCUGGGUGGCUCAGUGGGUUAAGUGUCCAGCUCUUGGUUUCAAAUCGGGUCAUGAUCUCACGGAUGGGGAGUUCAAGCCCCAUACGGGGCUCUGUGCUGACAGCACAGAACCUGCUUGGGAUUCUGUCUCCCUCUCUCUCUUCCCCUUCCCUGCUUGCUCUCUAUCUCAUUCUUUCAAAAAUAAAUAAAUAAAUAAGCAUUUAAAAAUAAAUAAAACAUUAAAAAAAUUUUGUUCAAACAUAUGCUUUCAAUUCUCUAGAGUAUAUACUUAAGAGUGAAAUUGCUGGUUAUAUGGUUAUUCUAUGUUUAACUUAUUGAAGAACUGCCAAACUGUUUUCCAUAGUGGCUGCAGCAUUUUGCAUUUUACAUUCCUACCAGGAGUAUAUAAGUGUUCCAAUUGCUCUGCAUCCUCACCAACACUUUUUAUUAUAACCUUCCUAGAGGUUGGUACGGUAGUCCCCCCUCGUCCACGAUUUUGUUGCCCGUGGUUUCAGUUACUUGUAGUCAGCUGUGUUUCAGAAGCAGAUGAUCCUCCUUCUGACCUAUCUUCAGGUCAACAGUUGCGUAACACGAUAUCCUAAUGCCUACAUCAUUCACCACACUUCAUCUCAUCACGUAGACAUUUUAUCAUCCCACGUUGCCACAAGAAAGGGUGAGUAUAGUAUAAUUAGAUAUUUUGAGAGAAAGAGAGACCACAUUCACAUAACUUUUAUUACAGCUGAUUAUUAUAAUUGUUCUAUUUUGUUACUAGUUCUUGUUAAUCUCUUACUGUGCCUAAUUUAUAAACUAAAUUUUAUCACAGAUAUGUGUGAAUAGGAAAAAACAUCGUAUAUACAGGAUUUGGUGCUAUCCAUGGUUUCGGGUAUUCACUGGGGGGUCUUGGAAUGUAUCCUUUGGGAUAAGAGGAGAGUACUGUAUCUAUCUCAUGGUGAUUUUGAUUUGCAUUUCCCUAAUGACUAAUGAUGUUGAGAAUCUUUUCAUGUGCUUACUGGCCACUUGUCUAUCUUUGGAGAAACGUCUCUUUAAAUCCAUUGCCCGUUUUUCAAUUGGCUUGUAUUUUUUAUUGUUGAGUUGUAGGAAUCCUUUAUAUUUUGAAUACAAGGCCCAUAUUAGAGAUGUGAUUUGCAAUUAUUUUCUUCCAUUCUAUGGGUUGUCUUUUCACUUUCUGGGUGUUCUCCUUGAACACAAAAAUUGUUAGUUUUGUUACAAUCCAGUUUGUCUAUUUUUCCUUUGGUUGCUUGUACUUUAGGCAUCAAAUUGGCUAAUCCAAGGUUACAAAUAUAAUUUACACAUAUAUUUUCUGUAAAAGUUAUCUAGUUUUACACUUACAUUUAUGGCUCUGAUCCCUUUAUUUUUUUUUUAAUUCUUAUUUUUAUUUAUUUAAGUAAACUCUACCCCAAUGUGGGGCUCAAACUCACUGUUCCAAGAUCAAGAGUUGCAUGCUUUAUGGACUGGCCCAGCCCUGUGUCUCUUAUGGUGCAUUUUGAGUUAAAUUUUAUUCAUAGUGUGAGGACAGGAGUUCCAGCCUCCUUUUUGUGUAGCUAUCCAAAUCUAGCACCAUUUGUUGAAAACACUGUUCUUUUCCCCUAUUUAAUUAUGUGGGCACUGUUGUUGAAAAUUAAUUGUCCAUAAAUGCCAAGGUUUAUUUUUGGACUCUGAGUUCUAUUUCAUUGAUCUAAAUGCCAUUUUUUGUGCUAAUACUGUACUGUCCUGAUUAUUGUAGUAUUAUGGCAAGUUUUUAAAAGGCAUGUGUGAGCCCUCCAAAUUUGUAGUUCUUUAAGAUUUUUGGUCAUGCUGAUUCCCUUGAAUUUCUAUAUGAAUUUUAAGAUCUGCUUGUCAAUUUCUGCAAAGAGCUAGCUGGAAUUUGGAAUUUGCAUAGGGACUGUGUUGAAUCUGUUAAUCAAUAUGGGAAAUACUGCCAUUUGACAAUGAAGUUUUCCAAUGCAAGAACAUGGGGCGUAUUUCCAUUUAGUCAGGUUUUUUUCAGCAAUGUUUUGUAGUUUUUAGAAUAUAGUUUUACACUUACUUAGUUUAAUUUAUUCCUAAGUGUUUUAUUCUUUUGAUGCUAUUGUGAAUGGAAUUUUAAUUUUAUUUUUGAAUUGUUCAUUGCUAAUGUAUAGAAAUACAAUUUAAUUUUUGUGUAUUGAUCCUAUCUCUUGUAAACUUAGUGAAAUUAUUAAUUCUCAUAGGUUUUUUUUUCAUUCAUUCUCAUAGUUUUUAGUAGACCUGCUAUGUAUAAGCUCAUGUCAUCAGCAAAUAGAUACUUUUACUUCUUUCUUUCUUUUUCGUUUUUUUUUUCUUAAGGUUUUAUUUUUAAGUAAUCUCUACACCCAACAUGUGGCUUGAACUCACAACUCCGAGAUCAAGAGUCACAGGCUCUACCAACUGAAGCCAUCCAGGCGCCCCUACUUCUUUGCUAAUCUGGAUGUCUUUUAUUUCUUUUCCUUGCCUAAUUGCCCUAAUUAGAAUCUCUAGUACAAUGUUGUAUAGAAGUGGUGAGAACAGACAUCUUUGUCUUAAUCCUGAUUAUAGAUGGAAAGCAUUCAUUCUUUUACCAUUAAGUAUGUUAACUGUGGGUCUUUGUAUCUGUCCUUUAUUAGGUUGAAGAAGUUCCCUUUUAUUCUUAGUUUGCUGAGAGUUUUUAUGGUGAAGGAGGAGUGUAUUUGUUGAGAUUAUGGUGCAUUUUUGUCCUUUAUUCUAUUGAAAUCAUGUGUCAUAUUAAAUAUUAAAUGUUUGGAAGAAAACAUAUUAAGUGUUUGGUAAAAUUCACCAGCAAAGCCAUCUGGCCUAGGGCUUUUCUUUGUGGGAAAUUUUUUAAAAAUUGCUGAUGUAAUUUUUAUUUGUUAUAAGCCUAUUCAAGUCUUUUAUUUCUGGGGUGCGUGGCUGGCCCAGUCAGUAGAGCCUGUGACUCGAUUCUGGGGUUGUAAGCUCGAGCCCCAUGUUGGGUAUAGAGCUUACUUAAAAAAAAAUUUUUUUUUUUUUUAAAUUUCUUCUUGAGCAAUUUUGGUAGCUUGUGUCUUUCUAGGAAUUUGUUCGUUUCAUCUAAAAUAUCUAAUUUUUUGGCACACAGUCGUUCAGAAUAUUUCCUUAUAAUCUUUUAAAACAUUUUCUGUAAUGUCAAUCAACAGUAAUGCUUUCUAUUUCAUUUCUGAGUUUAGGAUUUUCAGUCUUUAUUCUUGGUCAGUCUAGGUAAGGUUUAUCAAUUUUGUUGAUCUUUUCAAGGGACAAACUUUAGGUAUGUUCUUUUUCUUCUUUAUAGUUUUUCAUUUAUUUCUGCUCUCAUCCUUACUUUUUUCUUUAUUCUGCUUGCUUUACGUUUCUUUUUUUUUUUUUUUUUUUUAAAUUUUUUUUUCAACGUUUAUUUAUUUUUGGGACAGAGAGAGACAGAGCAUGAACGGGGGAGGGGCAGAGAGAGAGGGAGACACAGAAUCGGAAACAGGCUCCAGGCUCUGAGCCAUCAGCCCAGAGCCUGACGCGGGGCUCGAACUCACGGACCGCGAGAUCGUGACCUGGCUGAAGUCGGACGCUUAACCGACUGCGCCACCCAGGCGCCCCUUGCUUUACGUUUCAUUUGCUCUUUUUUCUAGUGUGUUAAGGUGAUGAGAUUUUUUUUUUUUUUUUGACAGAAAGGGAGGGCACAAGUGAGUGAGGGGCAGAAGGAGAGGGAGGGGGAGAGAGAGAGAGAAGUAGAGCUCAACCGAAGCAGGGCUUGUGUUCGCCUGAAGUGGGGCUUGAACUCACCCAAAGCGGGGCUCGUGUUCGUGUUCACCCGAUUUGGGACGCGGAACCCGAGUUCAUGAACUGUGAGAUCAUGACCUGAGCCAAAGUCAGAUGCUUAACUAACUGAGCCACCCAAGUGCUCUGUCUUCUCUUUUCAUACAGAUGUUUAGUUAUAAAUUUCCCUCUAAGCAUUACUUUAGCUACAUCCCAUGUUUUCAUGUUCAUCUCAAAGUAUUUUCUUAUUUCCUUUGUGAUUUCUUCUUUAAUGGUUGUUUAGCAAUGUGCUGUUUAUUUCCACAUAUUUGUGAAUUUUUCGUAUUUAUUUGCUAUUGAUUUCUAACUUCAUCCUGUUGCUGAAUCAUCUAUUUCUCCUUCUAAUUGUGUCAGUUUUUGCUUCAUGUAUUUUGGGGGCUCUGUUUUUUGGUGCAUGUAUCUUCAUAAUUCUUAUCUUCCUCAAUUGACCCUUUUAUCAUUAUAAAAUGUCUUUGUCUCUAACAACAUUUUUUGUCUUACAGUUUAUUUUGUCUGACAUUAGAUAUCUACUGCAGCUGUCUUAUGGUUGCUGUUUGCCGAUCUUUUUCUAUCCUUUCACUUUCAACCUAUUUGUGACUUUGAAUCUGUGUGUCUCUGACACAGAGCAUAGAGUUGGAUCAUGUUUGUUUGUUUUAAAUUCAAGUUAGUUAACAUAUACUGUAGUAUUGGUUUCAGGAAUAGAGUUUAGUCAUUCAUCACUUUACAUAUAACACCCAGGGCUCACCCAACAAACACCCUCCUUAAUGCCCAUCACCCCUCCAGCAACCCUCAGUUUGCCUCCCUCUCUGUUUUUAUCUUAUUUUUGCUUCCCUUCCCCUAUGUUUAUCUGUUUUGUUUCUGUUUGUUUGCUUGUUUUUUUAUUCAGGCUGACAAGAUCUGCCUUUUAGAUGGCUUGUUUAGUAGAUCCACAUUUUUUUUAAGUAGGCUUCAUGCCCAACAUUGGACUUGAACUCAGGACCCUGAGGUCAAGAGUUGCAUGCUUUACCGCCUGAGCCAGCCAGUUGCCCCAGAUUCACAUUUAAUGUUAUUGAUAUGAUUGGAGGUACAGUUGACACUUGAACAACACAGAGGUUAGUAGCACUGACCCCAUGGGCAGUCAAAAAUUCAUGUAUAACUUUUGACUCCCCCAAAACUUAACUAAUAGCCUACUGUUGAUGGGAAGCCUUACUGAUAACAUAAACAGAUGAUUAAUGUAUAUUUUUCAUGUUAUAUGUAUCAUCUAAUGUAUUUUUUUACAGUAAAAUGAGGUAGAGGGAAAGAUGUUACAAAGAAAAUCAUAAGGAAGACAAAAUACAUUUAUAGCACCAUAUCAAAAAAGAAUCUGUGUAUAAGUGGACCUGUGCAAUUAAAAUUUGCGUUGUUCAGGGGCGCCUGGGUGGCUCAGUUGGUUAAGCGUCCGACUUCGGCUCGGGUCACGAUCUCAUGGUCUGUGAGUUCGAGCCCCGUGUCGGGCUCUGGGCUGAUGGCUCAGAGCCUGGAGCCUGCUUCUGAUUCUGUGUCUCCCUCUCUCUCUGCCCCUCCCCCGUUCAUGCUCUGUCUCUCUCUGUCCCAAAAAUAAAUAAACGUUAAAAAAAAUUUUUUAAAAAAUCUGUGUUCAAGGAUCAACUAUAUAUCUAUUUUACUUUCUUAGUGGUUGCCCUAGGACUUAAAUAAUAUAUAUCUGAAUUUAUCAGAAUCUACUUCAGAUUAUACUAUUUUAAGUCCAGUGAGAUAUAGAAAUACCUAGAUAGCUAUAUUCUCUCUUCCCUCUUUUAAUUUCAGCAUAGUUAUACAUAUUACAUCUACAUACAUUACACAUACAACUUUGUUAAAAUUAUUACUUUCUACAAUUUUAGGCCUUUUAAGCCUGAGAGAAGAAAGGAGAGGAAAUAUCUAUUUAUAGAGUUGCUGUUAUAUUAGCCUUCUUAUUUACCAUUUCCAGUUCUUGUCAUUAGUAGAUUUUUCUGGGGUCUUAGUCUGUUCAGGCUGCUAUAACAAAAUACCAUAGACUAGGGGCUUGUAAACAACAGAAAUUUAUUUCUCACAGUCGUGGAGGCUGGUUCAUAGAUGUCCAUCUUCUCACAUAAUGUAAGGGGCUAAGGAGCCCUCUGGGUUCUACUUUAUAAGGGCACCCACUAAUCCCAAUCAUGAAGGCCCUACCCUUGUGGCUUACUCACCUCCCAAAGGCUCCACCUCCAUUACAUUGGCAGUUAGGUUUCAACAUAUGAAUUUUGGGGGACACAAACAUUCCCUUUAGAGCAGUUGAAUUAGUAUUGCCCCAUUUGCUCUAUUCCCUCAGACAAUUUCUAGAGACUUUAAAUUUCCAGAGACUUUUCUUUUUUUUUUUUUUAAUAAAAAAAAAGUUUGGGGGCGCCUGGGUGGCGCAGUCGGUUAAGCGUCCGACUUCAACCAGGUCACGAUCUCGCGGUCCGUGAGUUCGAGCCCCGCGUCGGGCUCUGGGCUGAUGGCUCAGAGCCUGGAGCCUGUUUCCGAUUCUGUGUCUCCCUCUCUCUCUGCCCCUCCCCCAUUCAUGCUCUGUCUCUCUCUGUCCCAAAAAUAAAUAAACGUUGAAAAAAAAAAUUAAAAAAAAAAGUUUGUUUAAUGUUUAUUUAUUUUUGAGAGAGAGACAGAGAGCAAGCAGGUAAGGGCAGAGAGAGAGAGAGACACACACACAGAGUCUGAAGCAGGUUCCAGGCUCUGAGCUGUCAGCACAGAGUCUGACGCGGGGCUUGAACUCACAAACCGUGAGAUCAUGACCCAAGCCAAGUCAGACGCUCAACUGACUGAGCCACCCAGGUGCCCCUAGAGACUUUUCGUUUUAAAGAAAAUUUUCACCAGCUAAGGUUGGUUCACUGGGAAGAAGAGCUCCUUAUAUUAUUGUUUAAGAACCCUCAAGGUUAUGCAUUUUUUUUCUUUUAAGUAAGCUCUACAUCCAGCGUGAGGCUUGAACUCACCACCCCCGAAAUCAGUAGUUGCUGGAUUUACUGAUUGAGCCAGCCAAGCACUUCUGAUGUAUGCAUAUUUUAAACAUGGAUACCUAGUGGUUAAUUGCUCUCCAGAAAAGCUACACCACUGGGGCACCUGGGUAGCUCAGUUGGUUCAACUCAGGUCAUGAUCUCAGUUGGUGGGUUCAAGCCCCACAUCGGGCUCUGUGCUGACAGCUCAGAGCCUGGAGCCUGUUUUGGAUUCUGUGUCUCUCUCUCUCUCUUUCUCUCACUCUCACUCUCUCUCUCAAAAAUAAAUAAACAUUAAAAAAAAUGGGGGGGGGCACCUGGGUGGCUCAGUUGGUUAAGCAUCUCACUUUGGCUCAGGUCAUGAUCUCAUGGCGUGAGUUCGAGCCCCGCAUCGGGGUCUGUGCUGACAGCUUGGAGCCUGGAGCCUGCUUCGGAAUCCGUUGUCUCCCUCUCUCUCUCUGCCCCUCUCCUGCUUGCACUCUGUCUCUGUAUCUGUCUCUCUGUCUCUCUCUCUCAAAAAUAAAUAAGCAUUAAAAAUAAUUAAAAAAAAAAGAAAAAGAAAAGCUACACCACCUUGCAUUUUCAAUAGCAGGUUGUGAGAAUGCUUAUUCCCCACACUUUUGCCAACACUGGGUGUUAUUAAUGUUUUUAAUCUUUGCUAAUCUGAUAAGCAAAAUACCCAUCUUAUUUUUAUGUUCAAAAUUUAGGCAGUCUGAGGUGAUUUCUAGAAGAGGCAUACCUGCAUCUUUUCACUGCUGAAUUAUUUUUGCCAUCCCAUCAUGACUGUCAGGAAAGGGAAAUGUUAAGUAGAUGGAAGCUUCCAAAAAUGAAGCAAAGGGCUGCCUUCACGUCUUCGGGAGGGAGACAAAACAAAUUGCUUAGGAAACCUUGAUACCAGUGAUUUGUCUUCUUGUAAAAGAUCCGUUUUCUCUUAAAAAAAAAAAAAAGUUAAUAUGUUGCUCUACCAUAUAGUUAAAACUUAUUGCUAAGUACUAAUUAUUAAAUAGUUUCACAACAUUAAAGGAUUCCUAGGGACCAUUUUAUCUGUUAAAAUACCUCAAAUUAAGAUAUUGGUUCUGGGGGCGCCUGACUGGUUCAGUUGGUGGAGCGUGUGACUCUUGGUCUUGGGGUUGUGAGUUCAAGCCCCAGGUGGGGCAUGGAGCCUACUUGAUAAAAGAUAUUGGCUCUGGUAUGUUUUUGUUGACCUGCUCCAAAUUAAACUAUCUUAGCCGGUAUAAAUAUCAGGAAUCAAAAUCCAAAAUAUUAAGGAAAAUAAACUAUCUUAGCUGGUAUAAAUAUGAGGAAUCAAAAUCCAAAAAUAUUAAGAAAAUUGAGCAAAUAGGUGAAAAAUAAUUUAGUGAAAAAAAUCUCUUUAAUAACAUGAAUUCAGGCCUUUGAAGAAAUAUGGGUGCUAUUUUCAUAUUGAAAGGUAAGAAAAUACAAAGUUGCUUUCAGCACUGAAAAGCCUUGUUAAGUUUUUAAAACUCAUUAUCUAUUAAAAAAAUUAAGCAUGGGUAAAUUAGUCUGCUGGAUAGCAUUUCUUUUUAUAAUGUGUUUCUUUCUUGUUUGUCUCCCCGAUAUAGAUCUUAAGCUAACUUCACCUGGUCUGCCAGAAGAGGAGUGGAUAAAACAUACCCACCCACACCAUAGUGUGAUUGCUUAGAAGUUCCUGUACAAAAAGGAAUCAUUUGAAAGCACCUGCGAUGGUUUCUUAGUUUUACAGGAUUCUCUUUUUCCUGGUUUCUCUUUAGAGGGGAAAAUAACAUAAAUUCAAAAACAAUUCCAAUCCGAAGCACAGUUAUUUGCUUAUGUAACAAAAUCUCUCAUCUUUUUCUGUAUAUUACUAUUCUUAGGUGAGUGAAAAAGAAAUAUACUUUUUAAUGUCUUAGAACUCUGUAAUAAUCAAAAGUACAAGAAUUAAAAUUUUUCUUUCAUAUUCCUAUAAUUCUCCAAAAUUAAAAUAAGUGUUUAUGUGUUUGAGUGAUUUUUUCCAAAAAUGCCAAAUCUGAAAUAAAAUGCAUUGGUCAUUUGGCUUUACAGAAUAGGGAUAAAUUAAUUGGUUCAUUGAUUCUUUAUAGAGAGAGACUAAGAAAUAAGCUACCGACUGCUACCAAUUUUAAGUUAUAGGCUUUAAUGCUUAUGAAAGUAUUUUUUAUUUUAAAUAAUAUUCAUAAAGUCGUAAAGAAAGUUUCAAAAACUAACUGAAAUGAUCAUUUCUGAAUCUAUUUCUCAUUAUGUAAUUAUAAGAAGCCAAUGUUUGAUUUCCUUUGAAGUUCUGUUAGAUCUUUCCAAGUUGUUAGAUACACUCUUAAUUUGUAUUCAUUGAAAAGAUCACUCAAUGCCAUAAUGUUUUUAUUUUAUUGUAAGUUAAUUCCAGGUAUGAAAUUUACAAAUUCUUUUCUUGAUUAGAAAUUUUGCUUUGUAAACAUUAUAGAGUAGGAGAAGCCAUAAGCCAUUAACCCUUAUUUUGCUAAAAUAAAUUUGGGAUUGGUAUACUCUAAAGAAUUUGAGACAGAAAUUCUGAAAUCACAGUUUAUCUCCCUUUCACAGUUUAUUAAUGGCAUCUUUUGGGAUGAAAAGUGUUUAUAGAAAGAAUUGUAAUUAACUUUAAACACUAAAGAUGUUUUAUGAAAUCUGUUACCUCAUUUAAAUUGGAUAUUUUGGGGAAAUUCUUUUUUAAAAAAAUUUCUUUUGGUGGAGCCUGGGUGGCUCAGUCAGUUAAGGGUCCAACUUCAGCUCAGGUCAUAAUCUUGCUGUCUGUGAGUUUCAGCCCUGCGUGGGACUUUGUACUGACAACUCAGAGCCUAGAGCCUGCUUCAGAUUCUGUGUCUCCCUCUCGUUCUGUUCCUCCCUUGCUCACGCUCUGUUUCUCUCUCUCUCAAAAAUAAAUAAACAUUAAAAAUUUUUUUUAAAUAAAUACAAAAUUUUUUUAAAAUUAUUUUUAAUUAAUUAAUCUCUACCCCCAACGUGGGGCUGGAACUCACAACCUAAAGAUCAAGAGUCACAUGUUCCACCAACUUAGCCAGCCAAGCGCCCCUAAUUUUGGGGAAAUUAUAAAUGCUUUUCUGGAUAAAUCGUAAUUUCUUUACACAAGUGCAUUUUGAUAGAACAUAAGCUAUUAUCAGUUAUAUUUAUUUUUAAAACAUAUACUUGUUCAUAUACUUUGUGCAAAAAAAGAAAAGCAAUACUUUAUACAGUUAAAAUACGUCUCAUUGAAUACAAGCCAAUACUAUUUCAAGUACAGACUGACAUUCACAAAGUUAAAAACCAACCAUACCAUUGUAAUGUAAUUAAAUGGUUGUAGAUAACUGCUCAUACAACUGCAGCGAGUUUUCAAUAAAACAAUCGAGUGUCUACUUGUCCUUAUUCUGUAUAAGAAAUGUUCAAAGUGUUGAGCACAGCAUGGUAGAAAUCGUUCUGAUACUUUUCUUUAUUUCCAUUGUUUGUUCCUUGAUAUAUACCUUGCCACUACAGUUUUUUACUUAAUUCAGGAUUAUCAAAGUAAGGGCAAAAUUUCUCUCAACAUCUACAAAAACCCAGCAAUAAAAUCUGAAAAAAAAUCAGGUAUGCUGAAAGUGGCAUACAAGAACGAAUCCAUGACAAUGGAACCAAAUUUAUUCACCGGUGACAUGGAAGGGGAAACAGGAAUGUCAAAGAUGUAUACCUGUUUUGUUGUUUCUAGAGAAAGUGAGAGGGAGUGUGCACGUGGUUAUGAGUGGGG
RNAcentral lists this long non-coding RNA (22612 nucleotides) under Lynx pardinus (Iberian lynx). Lineage: Eukaryota; Metazoa; Chordata; Mammalia; Carnivora; Felidae. The record is from RNAcentral.